Molecule: long non-coding RNA, 1182 nt
Filed under: Homo sapiens (human)
Lineage: Eukaryota; Metazoa; Chordata; Mammalia; Primates; Hominidae
Description: HSALNT0090922
Source: RNAcentral
CGUCGACCCCACGCCACGCAGAGGUGAAGAUACGCAGGACGUCCUCUAAAGCAACUUCCGUGGGUGCCAGGUUGUGGGCUGGGGGCGGUGCUGACCUUGAGAGAGCGGAGGAGGCGCAGGCGCAGCACAGGUACGUGGGCGGGCGGAUCGUGGUGGCUGCGCUUGCGAGGACCCUGAGGUAGAUUGGGUGGUUUCAACAGGAACGCAUCCACUGUCUGAGAGUUUAAACUUGAUUUUGUGAGGGGACGAACAGCGUGACAAUUAAAAGAAGAUCUGGGAAUCAAAAGCUUCCUGAGGCCUUCACCAGAAGCAGAUGCUGGUGCCGUGCUUCUACAGCCUGCAGAACUGAAGGACUUUACAGCUUCUCUUUCGCAUAUCCAAAUUGCCAGCAUCACCGCUCUUGCACUCCAAGCCAUUAUUAAGUAAAGUAAAGAACACAAACACUGUGAUACUGCUACACUUGAUCUGAUAACCAAGAAGUCUACUAAGUGACUAACAGCAGAGCAACUGGGAACCUAAUUCUGACCAAAAAGGAGGAAUUGUUUGGCUAAUUGGAAGUGACAGAAACCUUGGGAGAAAGCAACCGCAUACCAAGGAUAAUUAUAAGAAGAAGAGAAGACAUGGAGAAGAGGAGGGAGUAGUUGUGACCGUGGAGGCAGAGAAUGGAGUAAUGUGAUCAUAAAUCAAGGAAUGCUGACAGCCACUAAAGCUGGAGAAGGCCAAGGACAGAUAUUCAAUCCUCCCGUAGAAGUACAGCCCUGCUAAUGCAUUGAUUUUGGACUUCUGGCCUCAGAACUGUAAGAGAAUAAAUUUCUAUUGUUUUAAGCCUUCAGUUUGUGGUAGUUUGUUACAGAAACCCUGUAAAGUUAAUACACAGAGUUCAAAGAGAAUCCGGUAAUAUCUCUAAAAGACUCGUGUAUUAGUCAGGAUUCUCCAGAGAAGCAAAGCCAAUAGAAUGAUACAUGUUGUUAAAGCAAAUUAAAAUGGAGACCAUGCCUGAAGAAUCUCUGUGCAGAGAAACCCAGUUAGGCCUCAUAAGUUAACCUUACUUGAUUUGCAAACAUAAUCUAAAAGUUAACUGGAGCUAUUUCCGGUAAAUGAAUAUAACACAACUUAAGCUCAAUCAGUCAGAAGCAGCUUUAUAAUUAUGUAGCUAGGGACUUUCCAAGAGGAUGACCAAAG